Aethalodelphis obliquidens (Pacific white-sided dolphin) is the source of this 1820-nucleotide long non-coding RNA. RefSeq lists it as uncharacterized. NCBI's taxonomy places the organism in Eukaryota, Metazoa, Chordata, Mammalia, Artiodactyla, Delphinidae. The record is from RefSeq and is a predicted model, not a curated record. The transcript is spliced from 3 exons.
AUCUCCGGGGCGGCCUCCUUCCUCUGCCCCAGCACCUGACUUUGCAGCCUCUGAGUCUUAGGAGGGAAGCACCAGAGGGAGGCUGCCCUGAGGCUAUGGGGGAGCCCGGGCCAGAGCGGAAGGGAUGGGUCAUUUGAGUGAGUCCCUCGAGAUUACUCUCUCUAGCUGAUUGAAAUUGCCAUUUAUGGGGAAACUAGAGCCCAGGCUCGGCACCUGUGUGCUUUUCUUUCACCCGUACUGGUGUGUUCAAGUCCUGUGUCAGUAGCAGAGGCUCACGGAUGUUGUGAAGAUCCCGCAGGCAGCGGCCGCCCGCGAUGAAGCUGGGCCGGGCCCCGCGGGUGACGUCAGCACCAUGAUGAGCCCUGCAGGCGGCCGGCGCCACACUCCCAGGCCUGCUCGCAGAGGUUGGCGAUGGGGUGUGUGUGCCCAUGACGAGCAGUGGUGUCUCUCAGUGGGGACUUGCCCCUACCCAGCGUGCCCUGUGCUACCAGUUGUUUGUUGUUUCUCUUUUAGAAUGUCAGUGGCUAACAGUAAAGUGAACAAGAGCUUUUGAAUUCAAGGGUCCUAACUGCUCAGGUCGCCUUUAUUUAAAAGGACGCAGUUAAGGUACUUUUAUCCUUUUGGAAAUACCGCUUUACCUACUUUUUUAAGCUAGAACUAAAACCGUAACCCUGAACUAGAAUGCCUCUUGGUGUGCGUGUGUUCUGCCGUGGUCUGUGGUCUUGCUACUAGCCCAUCUCUAACUAAGCAAAGCAACGUGGAACUGUAUUUGAAAGCGUAUCUCUUAGAGCACAUGAAUUACACAGGAACGAGAAAAACAAAAGUUGUUUUGGAUCACAUUUUACAGCUCUCUAACUUUAACCGUUGUCUUUUAAGAAAAAAAAAAACAGACUGAUAAAAUUUGGUGGUUGAAACUGUAGCAUCCACACCCAUUGAACUUCCACUGGUAGAUACGACGUAAGUGUACUUUGGUGUGUGUUGGUGUGUAAAUUUCUCACGAGUCAGAAAAUAAUUUUCCCUGCUUAGUCUGUGUUCUGCAUUUGAGGAGAGAGUGCUUUGUUUCAUCACAGCCGUCACUUGUCUCUCACGUUCAUAGCCACCGAAAACAUCGUGUGUGAAACACGCGGCAUGCAGGAGGCGCUCAGCAGUCGUUGCUGACUAGUGCCCUGUUGCGUGGUGCUUACUAAGCGGUGUUGCUCCACCACUGCGACCUCAAAAGACAGGACCAUUUCGCUAAAGGACUAUUCCAAGGUGUCGAAAGGAUAGCUCACCUGUGAAAGUCAAAUGUGUUUCACCACAUCAUAGGUAUAUGAAGUGCAUCUGUAUCUGUGAAAACGUGGAAAAAUAGUGUUUCAGUUGGCGCUGCACCACAUAUAUUUGUUAAAAACGUGAAAUUAUAAAUAAGGAAAGAAUCUGCUCUUCCUUCUUCCUCCCCGGUAUCAUCUCUGACCCCAAAGCCUGGGGCCCACAGGUACCACUGCGGGUGUCAUCACAGACGAAAGGAUUCGAACAGCAGAAGUCUGGAGGUGGGGGGGUGUCAGUGACUAAGGUCUUGGGAGAUCACACUCCUUUGAAAUGGGCCCCACAGCAAAGCCCUCAAAACUUUCUCACAGCGGGUCCCGCAGUUAGUAAGUGCCUGGGACAGGGGAGCACCCAGCACAUGUGGGUUGUCCCAUUCUGGUCCUCUGGCUGUGCACACGUGGUGCGCAUCUGUGUGUUUAACAGUUCGCGUCGUGUUUGUCAUUCCUCUUUCACUUCACGGUUUAUCGCAGAUCAUUCCCACGUUGAAAAGAGGACGAAAUGUGACAGCAGCAAGAGAA